GCCACACUGGGACUGAGACACGGCCCAGACUCCUACGGGAGGCAGCAGUGGGGAAUAUUGCACAAUGGGCGAAAGCCUGAUGCAGCAACGCCGCGUGAGGGAUGACGGCCUUCGGGUUGUAAACCUCUUUUAGCAGGGAAGAAGCGAAAGUGACGGUACCUGCAGAAAAAGCGCCGGCUAACUACGUGCCAGCAGCCGCGGUAAUACGUAGGGCGCAAGCGUUAUCCGGAAUUAUUGGGCGUAAAGAGCUCGUAGGCGGUUUGUCGCGUCUGCUGUGAAAUCCCGAGGCUCAACCUCGGGCCUGCAGUGGGUACGGGCAGACUAGAGUGCGGUAGGGGAGAUUGGAAUUCCUGGUGUAGCGGUGGAAUGCGCAGAUAUCAGGAGGAACACCGAUGGCGAAGGCAGAUCUCUGGGCCGUAACUGACGCUGAGGAGCGAAAGGGUGGGGAGCAAACAGGCUUAGAUACCCUGGUAGUCCACCCCGUAAACGUUGGGAACUAGUUGUGGGGUCCAUUCCACGGAUUCCGUGACGCAGCUAACGCAUUAAGUUCCCCGCCUGGGGAGUACGGCCGCAAGGCUAAAACUCAAAGGAAUUGACGGGGACCCGCACAAGCGGCGGAGCAUGCGGAUUAAUUCGAUGCAACGCGAAGAACCUUACCAAGGCUUGACAUAUACGAGAACGGGCCAGAAAUGGUCAACUCUUUGGACACUCGUAAACAGGUGGUGCAUGGUUGUCGUCAGCUCGUGUCGUGAGAUGUUGGGUUAAGUCCCGCAACGAGCGCAACCCUCGUUCUAUGUUGCCAGCACGUAAUGGUGGGAACUCAUGGGAUACUGCCGGGGUCAACUCGGAGGAAGGUGGGGAUGACGUCAAAUCAUCAUGCCCCUUAUGUCUUGGGCUUCACGCAUGCUACAAUGGCCGGUACAAAGGGCUGCAAUACCGUGAGGUGGAGCGAAUCCCAAAAAGCCGGUCCCAGUUCGGAUUGAGGUCUGCAACUCGACCUCAUGAAGUCGGAGUCGCUAGUAAUCGCAGAUCAGCAACGCUGCGGUGAAUACGUUCCCGGGUCUUGUACACACCGCCCGUCAAGUCAUGAAAGUCGGUAACACCUGAAGCCGGUGGCCUAACCCUUGUGGAGGGAGCCGUCGAAGGUGGGAUCGGUAAUUAGGACUAAGUCGUAACAAGGUAGCCGUACCGGAAGGUGCGGCUGGAUCACCUCCUUU
Molecule: ribosomal RNA, 1217 nt
Filed under: Microbacterium paraoxydans
Lineage: Bacteria; Bacillati; Actinomycetota; Actinomycetes; Micrococcales; Microbacteriaceae
Description: bacterial SSU rRNA
Rfam family: Bacterial small subunit ribosomal RNA
Source: RNAcentral